This is a non-coding RNA of Dermacentor albipictus, 709 nucleotides long. NCBI's taxonomy places the organism in Eukaryota, Metazoa, Arthropoda, Arachnida, Ixodida, Ixodidae. The record is from RefSeq and is a predicted model, not a curated record.
UAUCAGGCGAGCGGAAACUGCAAAACACGGCUGAUAUAUAGCCGUUCCUUGUUGUAUGUGAUGAUGGCAUCUUAGGAAGCCUUUCUUUUUUACAUUGCGGACAUGGGGGUCAAUCGCAGAUCAGCUCCAAAGCGUUCAGAACACUUUCUCGAGCAAGCAUGACCGCAUUGCGGCAAAGCUAUCUCUCGGAAGGCAGGACCGGGCGUCUUUUAGGUGGCGCAAGAAAAAAAAAAGACUGGAGAGAACGGUGCAAGAGGAAGGAUGGGAUGACAACGCAAGUUUCAGAUUAUACGCGCUAAGUCUCGGAUUACGAACCUCGGCACUUGCUCCUUAUCUCCUGUGGCCUGCGUUUUGGCUGCUCUUCUCCAUAACAGCAAGAGAGGCAUGCACCGGCAGAAUAAGCGAGGCGCCUUGCCAAUCGUGGGCGACCGUUACUUACACGGCAGGCAGUCGCUGUUACCUUGCGGUAAGUGACGGCCAAGCACACUGCGCGGACAUAAUGGCACCGGAACUGCGCGCCUUAAGAUGAAGUCGACUCCAAAUGACAGCUUCCACUGUCGUGUAAUAUUUUCGUAGCCGUGAUAACCUUUAAGUUUUCAUCCUACGGGGACUUACGCGGGAUCGCCACAACGCGCCAUCGUUGUGCUACAGCUACUUCCAUCUCCCAAAGCGCCGACUUGUUCUUUUUACAUAAAAAAAAACACAUUUU